UUAGGAAUAUUCGUCAAUGGGGGAAACCCUGAACGAGCAAUGCCGCGUGAGUGAUGAAGGUCCUUUGGAUUGUAAAACUCUGUUGUAAAGGAAGAACUCUUAUUAUAGGUAAUGAUGAUAAGUUGACGGUACUUUACCAGAAAGCCCCGGCUAACUACGUGCCAGCAGCCGCGGUAAUACGUAGGGGGCGAGCGUUAUCCGGAUUUAUUGGGCGUAAAGCGUGUGUAGGCGGUUUAUUAAGUCUAAGAUUAAAGCCUGAGGCUCAACCUCAGUUCGUCUUAGAAACUGGUAGACUUGAGUGUGGUAGAGGCAAGUGGAAUUUCUAGUGUAGCGGUUAAAUGCGUAGAUAUUAGAAGGAACACCAGUGGCGAAGGCGGCUUGCUGGGCCAUUACUGACGCU
This 400-nucleotide ribosomal RNA is filed under the name uncultured bacterium. RNAcentral describes it as "bacterial SSU rRNA". It matches the Rfam family "Bacterial small subunit ribosomal RNA", at positions 355 to 747 of the family's 1533-position model. The record is from RNAcentral.